GCCAAUCACAGUUGGCCAGCCAGCUCUCCCUUGCAUGGAGAUGACUGCUCAGGGGAAGAUGAGUGACAGUCAGACCCUAGGGCCGGUGACCCUGGUUCAUGUGCCACACACUGCAGAGGCAUCUUGCUUCAAAGCGACACUGUUACUGGUGGGAAGCCUAUGGGGACCCUCUGGUACUGCCAAUUUUCAGCCAGAGGAGGCUUUGUGCCAGGCAUCUCUAAAGUGGAAACUGAGUAUAUCAGACAACGAAUACAUGGCUGGUAAGGGUUGAAGCCGGAUUGGUCUUGAACCCCGUGACACUGCCUGGUCCCAUCUAAGGGAGGAAGUCCAGCCCAGGAGAAGGUUGAAGCUGAGUGGAUGGGUAGACAGAUGGAUGGCCAAGUGAGCUGGUGGGUAAGGUUGUGUGUGGGGAGAUGGAUGGAUGGGUGGGUGGGUAAGUGGGUGGACACCCACUCUGAGCCGCGCAUCGUAUGUUAGCAGAAUUAGACCUUACAGGAAAACUCACACUCCACCUGGACAUACUCAGCCAAGAGCAAACGCUCUAGACCUGUGUAGUGCUCAUGACAAAGCAGGACAAGAGCUGGGCUUCCCCGGUGGUGACAGUCCACCGUGCAGACCCUUUCCUAACCUCACUGUUCUAGAAAAUGGAGUUCAAAAGCUUAGAUCGGGGCCAGCAAGACGGCUUAACAGGUAGACCCCUGCCACUAAGCCUGGGGACGUGAGUGGGAUCUCCAGGACCCAUAUGGUGAAGGAGAGAAGGGACACUCACAAGUUGACCUCUGAUACACGCAUGCAGACACACACACACACACACACACACACACACACACACACACACACACAAAUGUAAUUUUUAAAAACCCUGCUUAGUAGGAUUGUUUUAAAAAGCUACACUAAAGUAUGGCAUGGUGGUUCACACCUGUAACCCUACUCAAGAAACUGAUGCAGCAGGAUUACUAUGAGUUUGAAGCCAGCCUGGGCUAUCCAGUGAAUUUGCGGCCAGCCUAGGCUACUGUCUCAGUUAGGGUUUCUAUUGCUGUGAAGAGACACCAUGACCAUGGCAACUCUUAUAAAGGA
Non-coding RNA from Peromyscus maniculatus bairdii (prairie deer mouse), 1077 nucleotides. The record is from RefSeq and is a predicted model, not a curated record. Lineage: Eukaryota; Metazoa; Chordata; Mammalia; Rodentia; Cricetidae.